AUGUACAUCCAGGUUUUUUUCCUUUAAUUUUUUUGGGGGCCUCCAAGAGAGUGGGGCCCUAAGCUAUAGCUUGUUAAUUAAGAAAUGCUGUGUAUCACUGAUGAAACUGCAGUCGACGCAUUUUCAAGUACUAAAACUGAUUUCUAAGGUCAUGUCAGUACACAGAAAGUUACAUCUACGUUGGGGAAGAAAGAUUCGCAUUCACUCUGCACAUAUCUGUGCAUGUGUCUGCACAGCCUUCCUGGUCUCCCACCUAUCUUUCCUUGGCACUUGUAGUUUUUCUUGGUCUGCCUCUAUCCUUUGGGCCUGCUCCGACCAUAAUGCUCCGACCAUAAUGCUGUUAAGAUGGAAAUGAAACUAACACCAGCUGGCUCCUUCAGAUGGAGGAUGAAUGACACCUUAUUUAGAGAUGAAGAAGUGUUAAAGAAGGCCCAAAAAAUCUUGAGAGAUUAUUUUGAGAUAAAUAUGAAUACCAACGUGGAAAAAAGAGUAAUCUGGGACGCAAGUAAAGCGGUUAUGAGAGGGUUUCUGAUACAACAGAAUGCAGUAAAGAAGAGAAUUCAAAAUGAGAAGAAGGAUAAGAUAUUGGAGAAAAUAAAGGAAAGUGAAAAAAGAUUGAGAACAAAUCCAAAAUCUCAAGAGAUUCUGAGAGAAUUAAAGUUAUACCAAGUACAAUACAUGAAAAUGAUGAAUCAGGAAAUAGAAUGGAAAAUCAAACAAAUGAGACAAAAGACAUUUGAGUCGGCUAAUAAAUGUGGGAAACUGUUGGCUUGGCAAAUGAAAAAAAGACAAAAAUUAAAUACAGUUACGAAUUUAGAAGUGUAAGGAAGGAAUAUACAGAACCCAGCUGAGAUCAGAAGUUGUUUCCAGAGGUACUUUAAACAACUAUAUACACAAGGGCCACUGAAAGGAACUGAUUUAGAUCAAUUUUUGAAAACAAAUGGAUUACAAAAAAUCUCUCAAGAAAAUAAAUUAAUGUUGAACUAUAAAAUAACCGAACAGGAGAUAGAAGGUGCCAUUCAAAACAUGCAAUUGGGUAAGUCUCCAGGACCGGAUGGAUUGACUUCUAGAUAUUACAAAUCCUUGAAAGAAUGGUUAAUACAACCUUUGAAAGAGGCCUGUAAUGAAAUAAUGGAGGGGAAAAGAGCACCAGAGUCGUGGAAAGAAACUUAUAUUACACUUGUACCGAAAACAGAGACUGAAAAGACACAGCUUAAGAACUACCGUCCCAUAUCAUUACUUAAUGUGGAUUACAAAAUUUUUGCAGACAUUUUGGCUAAGAGAUUUUAAAAAGUGUUGAUGGAAGAGAUUCAUAAAGAUCAAGCGGGCUUUCUCCCAGGAAGACACUUGUCUGACAAUUUGAGGAAUAUAAUUGAUAUUUUGGAAAAACUAGAAGUGAAUAUAAAUACUAAAGCAGUUUUGAUAUUUGUGGACGCGGAGAAAGCUUUUGACAAUAUUUCUUGGAGCUUUAUGAAGAAGAACCUACAGGGUAUGGGGGUAGGCCAAGGCUUUGAAAAUGGUAUAAGUGCAAUUUAUUCAGAACAAAAGGCUAAAUUAAUUGUAAAUAAUGUGGUGACGGAAGAAUUUAAAAUAGAAAAAGGGACACGACAAGGUUGCCCAAUUUCCCCACUACUUUUUAUUUCGGUCCUGGAGGUUUUGUUGAACAUGAUAAGAAGGGACAAGCUGGUUAAAGGUAUACAGGUCGGAACUAAACAGUACAAACUGAGAGCAUUUGCAGAUGACUUAGUACUGACGCUACAGGAGCCAGAAUCUAGUACCAAAAGGGUUUUAGAAUUGAUUCAAGAAUUUGGUCAGGUUGCAGGAUUUAAAUUGAACAAGUUAAAAACUAAGGUUUUAGAGAAAAAUUUAACACCAAUGGAGAGAGAAAGGUUUCAGAAUGUGACAGGUUUAACAGUGGCUAAGAAAGUUAAAUACCUGGGGAUUAAUAUGACAGCAAAAAAUGGGAAUUUAUUCAAAGAUAACUAUGAAAAAUGUUGGGAUGAAGUGAAAAAAGAUUUAGAAAUUUGGUCAAAUUUGAAGCUUUCACUGCUGGGCCGGAUUGCUGCGGUAAAAAUGAAUGUAUUGCCUAGAAUGUUAUUUCUGUUUCAAACAUUGCAAAUUGUGGACAAAAUGGACUGUUUCAAGAGGUGGCAGAGAGAUAUUUCCAGAUUUGUCUGGCAGGGCAAGAAGCCCAGAAUAAAAUUUAAAAUACUAACAGAUGCAAAGGAAAGAGGUGGAUUUGCCCUGCCAGACCUUAAACUUUAUUAUGAAUCAGCAGCCUUUUGCUGGUUGAAAGAAUGGCUGCUUCUUGAAAACACUGACAUUUUGGAUCUAGAAGGUUUUAACAAUGUAUUUGGAUGGCAUGCAUAUCUGUGGUAUGAUAAGGUCAAAGCACAUAAAGCAUUUAAAAAUCACAUUGUCAGGAAAGCAUUGUUUAAUGUUUGGAUAAGAUACAAGAAUUUAUUGGAAAACAAAACUCCAAGGUGGCUGUCACCAAUGGAAGCGAAAGCCUUGAAAAAGCUCAAUAUGGAGGUUGAAUGGCCAAAAUAUUGGGAAAUUUUGGAACAAGAUGGAGAUAGACUGAAAUUGCAGAGUUUUGAAAAAUUAAAAAACAAAGUGCGAGACUGGCUUCAUUAUUAUCAGAUAAUGGAGGCAUACAAUUCGGACAAGAAAAUUGGCUUCCAGGUGGAAAAAUCAAAAUUAGAAACAGAACUGUUAGAACCCAAAACUAAGACUUUGUCAAGAAUGUAUAACUUGCUGCUGAAAUGGAACACUCAGGAUGAAACGGUGAAAUCUGCUAUGAUUAAAUGGGCACAAGACGUUGGACACAACAUUAUGUUCGCUGACUGGGAACAGUUAUGGACCACAGGUAUGAAAUUUAUGGCAUGUAAUGCCAUAAGAGAGAAUAUUAUGAAAAUGAUAUACAGGUGGUACAUAACCCCAGUCAAGCUUGCAAAAAUCUACCAUUUGCCCGAUAAUAAAUGUUGGAAAUGUAAAGAAACUGAAGGUACAUUUUUUCACCUUUGGUGGACGUGCCCAAAGAUUAAGGCUUUCUGGGAGAAGAUAUAUAAUGAAUUAAAAAAGGUAUUUAAAUAUACCUUCUUGAAGAAACCAGAGGCCUUUCUCCUGGGCAUAGUCGGCCAAUUGGUGCUAAAAAAAGGACAGAACUUUCUUUAUGUAUGCUACAACAGCAGCAAGAAUACUCAUCGCAAAGUAUUGGAAGACACAAGAGCUACCCACACUGGAGGAAUGGCAGAUGAAAUUGAUGGACUAUAUGGAAUUGGCGGAAAUGACUGGCAGAAUCCGUGACCAGGGAGAAGAGUCGGUGGAAGAAGAUUGGAAGAAAUUCAAAGAUUACUUACGGAAAUAUUGCAAAAUUAAAGAAUGUUAGAGUGAUGUUGGAUUGAAAUGAAGUGGCUUCUAGCUGUACAGGCUUUAAAGUUAUAUACAGAUUAAGAUUAAGGAUUAGGAUUAAAAAAGUUAAAAGAAAUGGAAAAUUGGCUUUUAAUAGGUUAAAAUUUAAUGUUAUAUUAUAUUAAGAUUAAGGAUUGCGAUUAAAAAGGAGGGAAAGGAAUUGCUGGACAAACAAAUUGAAUUGGAAUACAAAAGAGGGAGGUAUGAGGAGGUCCGGGAAAUAAGUAAAUGUAAAAGUUAUGAUGAAAAGAUGGAAUUGUUUUUAACUGUUUUUUCUUUCUUUUUCUUUUGUAUUUUGUAUGGUGUAUUUCUCUUUUUAUUUUUAAAUUUCUUUUUUUUUUAAUUAAGAUGUCUCUUUUCAUGUGAAACUUCAAUAAAUAUCAUU
Non-coding RNA from Podarcis lilfordi (Lilford's wall lizard), 3799 nucleotides. NCBI's taxonomy places the organism in Eukaryota, Metazoa, Chordata, Lepidosauria, Squamata, Lacertidae. The record is from the annotation of a GenBank genome assembly.